This 120-nucleotide transfer RNA is filed under the name Hypoxylon rubiginosum. Its description in RNAcentral is "tRNA-Leu". It matches the Rfam family "tRNA". Rfam says of the family: Transfer RNA (tRNA) molecules are approximately 80 nucleotides in length. The record is from RNAcentral. Lineage: Eukaryota; Fungi; Ascomycota; Sordariomycetes; Xylariales; Hypoxylaceae.
GGCAAGAUGGCCGAGCGGUCUAAGGCGCUAGACUCAAGAGGUUCCCUAUCUCUUAACUUCUCCCAAGAAGUUUGCAUUCUAGUCUCGAAAGAGGCGGGGGUUCGAAUCCCCCUCUUGUCA